Molecule: long non-coding RNA, 754 nt
Organism: Cydia amplana
Lineage: Eukaryota; Metazoa; Arthropoda; Insecta; Lepidoptera; Tortricidae
Exons: 3
Source: RefSeq, a predicted model, not a curated record
GACGUAUAAAAAAAAAACUACUUACUAGAUCUCGUUCAAACCAAUUUUCGGUGGAAGUUUGCAUGGUAAUGUACAUCAUAUAUUUUUUUUAAAGUUACACAUUUUACCACUUUGGAAGUGUCUCUCGCGCAAACUAUUCAGUUUAGAAAAAAAAUGAUAUUAGAAACCUCAAUAUCAAUUUUGAAGACCUAUCCAUAGAUACCCCACACGUAUAGGUUUGAUGAAAAAAAAAUUGAGUUUCAGCGAUUUAUGACGUAUUAAAAAAAAACUACUUACUAGAUCUCGUUUAAACCAAUUUUCGGUGGAAGUUUACAUGGUAAUGUACAUCAUAUAUUUUUUUUUCUUUUAUCAUUCUCUUAUUUUAGAAGUUACAGGGGGGGGGGGGGACACAUUUUACCACUUUGGGAGUGUCUCUCGCGCAAACUAUUCAGUUUAGAAAAAAAUGAUAUUAGAAACCUCAAUAUCAUUUUUGAAGACCUAUCCAUAGAUACCUCACAUGUAAGGGUUUGAUGGAAAAAAAAAUUUGAGUUUCAGUUCUAAGUAUGGGAACCCCCAAAAUUUAUUGUUUUUUUUUUCUAUUUUUGUGUGAAAAUCUUAAUGCGGUUCACAGAAUACAUCUACUUACCAAGUUUCAACAGUAUAGUUCUUAUAGUUUCGGAGAAAAGUGGCUGUGACAUACGGACGGACAGACAGACAGACAGACAGACAGACAGACAGACAGACAGACAGACAUGACGAAUCUAUAAGGGUUCCG